This 254-nucleotide ribosomal RNA is filed under the name uncultured bacterium. RNAcentral describes it as "partial 16S ribosomal RNA". It matches the Rfam family "Bacterial small subunit ribosomal RNA", at positions 524 to 776 of the family's 1533-position model. The record is from RNAcentral.
GACGUAGGGCGCGAGCGUUGUCCGGAUUUAUUGGGCGUAAAGAGCUCGUAGGCGGCUUGUCGCGUCGACUGUGAAAACCCGUGGCUCAACCAUGUGGUCUGCAGUCGAUACGGGCAGGCUAGAAUUCGGUAGGGGAGACUGGAAUUCCUGGUGUAGCGGUGAAAUGCGCAGAUAUCAGGAGGAACACCGGUGGCGAAGGCGGGUCUCUGGGCCGACACUGACGCUGAGGAGCGAAAGCGUGGGGAGCGAACAGG